UGGUGGAGUGAUUUUGUCUGCUUAAUUGCGAUAACGAACGAGAUGUCUGCCAAUAAAUAGAUGCCUCUUCUGUUUGUACACUAAGGCCCCUAAAUAGCUUGCUAUUGGGGAGAACUAAAGUGGAGGAGGAGGAUUUUUACUUAUUGGGAUUAUGCAAACUUCCAAAUGCAUUGAGACGAGAGCCAAUAGCA
RNAcentral lists this ribosomal RNA (191 nucleotides) under uncultured eukaryote. RNAcentral describes it as "partial 18S ribosomal RNA". It matches the Rfam family "Eukaryotic small subunit ribosomal RNA", at positions 1299 to 1458 of the family's 1831-position model. The record is from RNAcentral.